Molecule: small nucleolar RNA, 86 nt
Organism: Macaca fascicularis (crab-eating macaque)
Lineage: Eukaryota; Metazoa; Chordata; Mammalia; Primates; Cercopithecidae
Source: Ensembl
CUCCUUUCGUAGUUCAUAAGUGUGAUGAUUGGGUGUUCAUGAUUGUGUGUGCGAUGUGCCUCCCUCUAAACCUUUUUCACAUGAAA